UGAAUGAACCAAUUCUAAUUUUGAAACCUUU
Molecule: non-coding RNA, 31 nt
Filed under: Mus musculus (house mouse)
Lineage: Eukaryota; Metazoa; Chordata; Mammalia; Rodentia; Muridae
Also listed under: 1 other name
Source: RNAcentral